RNAcentral lists this ribosomal RNA (303 nucleotides) under uncultured bacterium. RNAcentral's name for it is "partial 16S ribosomal RNA". It matches the Rfam family "Bacterial small subunit ribosomal RNA", at positions 507 to 808 of the family's 1533-position model. The record is from RNAcentral.
AGCAGUAGCCGCGGUAAUACGGAGGGUGCAAGCGUUAAUCGGAAUUACUGGGCGUAAAGCGCACGCAGGCGGUCUGACAAGUCAGAUGUGAAAUCCCCGGGCUUAACCUGGGAACUGCAUUUGAAACUGUCAGGCUGGAGUCUUGUAGAGGGGGGUAGAAUUCCAGGUGUAGCGGUGAAAUGCGUAGAGAUCUGGAGGAAUACCGGUGGCGAAGGCGGCCCCCUGGACAAAGACUGACGCUCAGGUGCGAAAGCGUGGGGAGCAAACAGGAUUAGAUACCCCCAGUAGUCCCUGUCUCUUAUA